Molecule: non-coding RNA, 73 nt
Organism: Callorhinchus milii (elephant shark)
Lineage: Eukaryota; Metazoa; Chordata; Chondrichthyes; Chimaeriformes; Callorhinchidae
Source: the annotation of a RefSeq genome assembly
AGUUCCAUAGCGUAGUGGUUAGCGCACUCGCCUCGAAAGCGAGAGGACCUGAGUUCGAUUCCUGGUGGAGCAA